CAUGGAGCACCCGGUCGGCCCACAGGGCGCCGCAAUAGCGGCGGGCGCUGCCAAGCCCAGGAGCCCGGGGUGAGUCUGUGCUGAGCUGGGAGCCCGCGCCGGCAAGUAUCAGGGUGCCGGGCAGGUACCCACCACCCUCCUCCCUCUGCCCAGAGGGUCUGAAGAGCUGGUACUUUCCCUGAGAGAUUCACCAGAAGCUGCAGGAUUUUGCCUUGGGUGUGUGCACCAGCUCCAACAAGGACCAGAGGUAACGAGCUUCAUAAGGGCAAGCCCCAAGAUAGAGUGCUCAGCAUACCAAACCGUCUCAGCGUUUGUGAGAAUAUUAGCAGCAAUCCUGGGCUCGACAAGGCACAGAGAUGUUGGCAGAGGGGCUGGGCCACCAUGCUGCAUCCUUAUCGCCCGACUGCCCUGGGCCUGGCCUCUGCCCUCUGGCUGCCGGCAAUGACCUCGUAGCCCCCCGACUGGGCCCCUCAGGAUCGUGGCUGAUGUCCCUCACUGUGGCAUCUUCUGAGGAGGUUUACUUCCAGAAUGGGCAGCUGCUCCACGGUCAGGAGCUGGACUGUAUGAUGCCCUGUCCAAAGGCCUCUGCAGCUGAGCCCCUCAUCACCCUGGACGAUCCCAGCACCACAGGAUUCACUGACCCACCCCUGGGGGAGCCCCUGGAGUCCGAAUCAGGAGGAGAGUCCAAGCACCAGCAGUGGAUGAGCAGACGUGCAGGUGGGGGGCUACCUGGUGAUGCAGACCCCACUGCAGCCUCCAGCAUUCAUCCUCUCCCACAGACUCCUAGAUGAAAAUUCUUCAAUUAACAUAUGCAAGAAUUCUUUGCUACCAUUCAAGAUAUUGUGACCGGUAGAAAACCCGGUUCCAGGUAGUCAGGCCCACCUGAUCCCGCAUCAAACAGAGAAACAAGUCUCUCUCUUUGGUGAGAAGGUGAGUUUGUUGAAGAUGCAUCAACAAGUAACUGGAGGAAAGAAAAAACUUUCAAGCCCAGUUCAAAGUGAGAAGAAUUAUUUGGGCUUUUAUAACCCCAAACAGACAAAGAAAUGGCCAGAAGCCAGAAGAAAGCAGAAAGGAAAAAAAAAAAAGAAGAGAGAAAGGUGUCGGUCAGCAUCUUCUUGUUAUCUUCAGGUCCUCCCCUCAUUCAGGCUUGCUUUUCAAGGUCCUGAUUAUGAGACCGUAUGGUCACAUCCCUCAUAUCUUACUGCAGGCAAUGCUGGGAAAGUUCCUGUGAGCAGGGAAUAAGUUUUGUUGUUGAGAUUAGAGCAACAGCAAGUUAUUUUAGCAAGGGCUUUUCAUGGUCAGAAUAACU
Molecule: long non-coding RNA, 1309 nt
Organism: Choloepus didactylus (southern two-toed sloth)
Lineage: Eukaryota; Metazoa; Chordata; Mammalia; Pilosa; Megalonychidae
Exons: 6
Source: RefSeq, a predicted model, not a curated record